CAAGAUAAUGUGUUAUGAUGUGCAUUCUGCACUCUAAAAAUGCCAUUUCACCCACAGGUCAUGACACCAUCCUGUUUUGGAGUAUUCAGUCUCCGCUCUCUGGUUGUUUUGGAGAGCCACACAUAAUGAGCUCGCUUGUACCGUGCAUCGGCAUGACUGCACUUAACUGGAUCCAAGGGCAGCUUGAAGGAUCCGCCUCCAGAGGAAGAAACAGCCCUGAGGUAAAACAGAUGCAGAGGGGGCUGGUCAUCCAUCCUGCAGCAGGCAGGCUCCCAUCGAGCUGUUCUCAUCUCCAGGUGAACGCUAUAGUGGAGCUGAUAGUGCCUCAGACACAGUCAAGGACUCUGCUGGCCUUGCACUUAUCUCAAGUUGCUAUUCAGGAGAAGUGCUUGUGUGCAGUGAUACGUGUAGAACAAAGACGAGUUGACCAGGUCAAAAGCACAUAGCAUUUCGAAUGUAAGUGUUGAAUAAUAUAUUUUUAAAAUGUUAUUUAUAAUAUUUUUAUAAUCAUUUUAUGAAAAGUAAAUUACUUUUAUGUUACUUCUUACAGUCAGCUGACUGAGACUGUCCUUCAGUGUGGAAGGGCUACGUUUAGGAAUGCAAGUAUUUUUUUUUUUUAUUAUUAUUAUUUUAUGUAUUAUAUUGUGCGUGUAUAUGGGUGUGUGUGUGUAACUUUUUUGCAACUUUUUUUUCUUUUUGACUUUGUCAGCUGUCUGAGACUCUUCUCCAGAGUGGAAGUGCUAUACUUGGCUUGCAGGUAUGUUUAUAUUGUCAUGGUUAUGGACUCUAAUUUUGAUAUUCUGUUUUGUUUCCUUUUAGUUCCUGUUUCCCUGCUCUGUUUAGUUUCAGUUUCAUGGGUUUCUGAUUAUGUCCUUGUUUGUUUCUAUACUGUAGUUACUGAUUAUCCCCAGCUGUGUCUCAUCUAGUUCUCAGUGUUUUUAUACUGGAGCCAGAGCCGGCCAUGAUAUCAGUCCCAGAGUCUACGUAUGCUGCCCAGUCUAUCCCAGAGCCAGGAGAGGACCACUGCCUAAAGACCUGUGGUUUGUGGAUCCAGUUCCCUACCGAGUCCCCAUACUUGAAUCUAUGGCUUCUCCACCGGUCCUGUCAAACUGUUUGGAUACUCCAGUCCCAUCCAAAUCUUCCUGCUCCAAUGUUCCUGCCUGACUUCCUGGUUCCAUCUCCUCCACUGGUUCCGUCCAGUCCCCUGGAUCUGCCGUCUCCGCUGGUCUGUUGAGGCCCCAUCUCCACCUCAGUCCCGCAAGCCAGCGGCUCCACCUUGGGCUUCCGGGCCGUGGAUGUCGCUCAUCGCUCCAUCACUCAUAUCUGCGUCAAGCGUCUUAGAUUGCGACAGCACAACACGUUACAUAUAUAUUAUUUAUAUAUCGUUUUCUAUUCAUUUUUUAGAGGUUUGUGAUAAACAACAGGUUUAAAGUAUUUUCAAAAAUUCAAUAAAUAGAAUGAAUUAAAUAAAGUAAA
Molecule: long non-coding RNA, 1476 nt
Organism: Ctenopharyngodon idella (grass carp)
Lineage: Eukaryota; Metazoa; Chordata; Actinopteri; Cypriniformes; Xenocyprididae
Exons: 3
Source: RefSeq, a predicted model, not a curated record